This 497-nucleotide ribosomal RNA is filed under the name uncultured bacterium. RNAcentral describes it as "partial 16S ribosomal RNA". It matches the Rfam family "Bacterial small subunit ribosomal RNA", at positions 28 to 507 of the family's 1533-position model. The record is from RNAcentral.
GAUGAACGCUGGCGGCGUGCCUAAUACAUGCAAGUCGAGCGAACAGAUGAGGAGCUUGCUCCUCUGACGUUAGCGGCGGACGGGUGAGUAACACGUGGAUAACCUACCUAUAAGACUGGGAUAACUUCGGGAAACCGGAGCUAAUACCGGAUAAUACAUUGAACCGCAUGGUUCAAUAGUGAAAGGCGGUUUUGCUGUCACUUAUAGAUGGAUCCGCGCCGCAUUAGCUAGUUGGUAAGGUAACGGCUUACCAAGGCGACGAUGCGUAGCCGACCUGAGAGGGUGAUCGGCCACACUGGAACUGAGACACGGUCCAGACUCCUACGGGAGGCAGCAGUAGGGAAUCUUCCGCAAUGGGCGAAAGCCUGACGGAGCAACGCCGCGUGAGUGAUGAAGGUCUUCGGAUCGUAAAACUCUGUUAUUAGGGAAGAACAAAUGUGUAAGUAACUAUGCACGUCUUGACGGUACCUAAUCAGAAAGCCACGGCUAACUACGUG